Molecule: regulatory RNA element, 102 nt
Organism: Clostridiales bacterium CHKCI006
Lineage: Bacteria; Bacillati; Bacillota; Clostridia; Eubacteriales
Rfam family: azaaromatic riboswitch aptamer (yjdF RNA)
Source: Rfam
AACUGCAAAGAUAAAAACACCAUGAGCCGGUUGGUAGUCCGGCCGCACGUCACGUGUCAGUAACCCUCCCUCCUUGGGUCGUCCCUUCUUUGUAUGAAUCAA